This 342-nucleotide unclassified non-coding RNA is filed under the name Hevea brasiliensis (rubber tree). Lineage: Eukaryota; Viridiplantae; Streptophyta; Magnoliopsida; Malpighiales; Euphorbiaceae. The record is from RNAcentral.
GGGCAAAUGGCUACUAUCUUUCGUGUAUGCUAUCUUUCUUUUUACGGUUUAUUUCUUUUUGGCAUAUAUUUUUAUAUAAUGUUUGGAAUAAACACUGUUAAAAAAUGAAAGAAUUUUUAAACAUUAUCUGGUCUAAUUCUUGGAUGGCCUAAGAAACCUGUGCCAAUAAAAUAAAAUUAAAAAAAAAAUGCUGGUUUGGAGCAUGUGGAAGAUAGAUAUCUUAUCUUGCCAUUUUUAGUACCUUAGAAAUUUUUGAGAAACUAUUAUGUAGUGGCUUGUUAAUGGCAAUUUUAAUUCUUUGGUUUUAUUCAUCAUCAGUCUGUUAGUCGCAAUAUCAGUUCU